RNAcentral lists this ribosomal RNA (387 nucleotides) under Iridopagurus caribbensis. RNAcentral describes it as "partial 12S ribosomal RNA". The record is from RNAcentral. Lineage: Eukaryota; Metazoa; Arthropoda; Malacostraca; Decapoda; Paguridae.
AGGAUUAGAUACCCUAUUAUAAUUUGAAGCGAAAACUUAACCAGAGUAUUAAUAGUUAUUUUCUUUAAAUUCAAAGAAUUUGGCGGUAUUUUAGUCCUUUUAGAGGAACCUGUUUCAUAAACGAUAAACCACGAAUAUCUUACCUAUAUUUAGUUUGUAUACCGUCAUUAUUAGAUAACUUUGAUAAAAUAAGUUAUUGAAAUUAAUAAAAUUAAGUAAAUUAGAUCAAGGUGCAGCUUAUAUAUAGGCGAAAAUGGGUUACAAUAAUUUGUGUAAUUAAAUGAAUUUAUUAUUGAAAAUGAUAAUGAAGGUGGAUUUAAUUGUAAUUAUAUUUAUUUUAAUAUAUUGAUAUAAGGCUCUAAAAUAUGUACAUAUCGCCCGUCGCUA